This 868-nucleotide ribosomal RNA is filed under the name Wolbachia endosymbiont of Polytremis nascens. RNAcentral describes it as "bacterial SSU rRNA". It matches the Rfam family "Bacterial small subunit ribosomal RNA", at positions 95 to 1004 of the family's 1533-position model. The record is from RNAcentral. RNAcentral also lists the same sequence under 1 other name. Lineage: Bacteria; Pseudomonadati; Pseudomonadota; Alphaproteobacteria; Rickettsiales; Anaplasmataceae.
GGGGGGCAAGGGCGUGUAUGUAUAGGAUCUACCUAGUAGUACGGAAUAAUUGUUGGAAACGGCAACUAAUACCGUAUACGCCCUACGGGGGAAAAAUUUAUUGCUAUUAGAUGAGCCUAUAUUAGAUUAGCUAGUUGGUGGAGUAAUAGCCUACCAAGGCAAUGAUCUAUAGCUGAUCUGAGAGGAUGAUCAGCCACACUGGAACUGAGAUACGGUCCAGACUCCUACGGGAGGCAGCAGUGGGGAAUAUUGGACAAUGGGCGAAAGCCUGAUCCAGCCAUGCCGCAUGAGUGAAGAAGGCCUUUGGGUUGUAAAGCUCUUUUAGUGAGGAAGAUAAUGACGGUACUCACAGAAGAAGUCCUGGCUAACUCCGUGCCAGCAGCCGCGGUAAUACGGAGAGGGCUAGCGUUAUUCGGAAUUAUUGGGCGUAAAGGGCGCGUAGGCGGAUUAGUAAGUUAAAAGUGAAAUCCCAAGGCUCAACCUUGGAAUUGCUUUUAAAACUGCUAAUCUAGAGAUUGAAAGAGGAUAGAGGAAUUCCUAGUGUAGAGGUGAAAUUCGUAAAUAUUAGGAGGAACACCAGUGGCGAAGGCGUCUAUCUGGUUCAAAUCUGACGCUGAGGCGCGAAGGCGUGGGGAGCAAACAGGAUUAGAUACCCUGGUAGUCCACGCUGUAAACGAUGAAUGUUAAAUAUGGGAAGUUUUACUUUCGGUAUUACAGCUAACGCGUUAAACAUUCCGCCUGGGGAACUACGGUCGCAGGAUUAAACUCAAAGGAUUGACGGGGACCCGCACAAGCGGCGCAGCAUGUGUUUAAUUCGAUGCACCGCGAAAACCUUACCACUCCUUGACAUGAAAUCAUACCUUAUUCA